UUGUGUAAAAUCUAACAACCUCUGCUUCAUUGCACAUCCAGGUCGUGAAUGGAUUCAUGUCAGCCUUCAAACCCAUCGGGAGCUUUGUUCAUAAUUUUGUGUCCUUCACACGUGAGAGAGAUGCGUCAAAUAUAAAAAGCACCACUUUGACCCAGUUCCUGCUCAACUGGACUCUGUCUGAGCUGGCUGGCAAAUACCGGCAGCCAAAUGCAUCUGUGGUCCCAGAGGGACCUCAGUUUGAUGUGACAAAUGUGGCAGACUGGUAUGAUUAUGUUGUGAAGCCGCUGUUACGGAGGUUUUUGCCCAAUGAAGAACUCCUGAUGCAUGAAAACAUCACGCUCGCUUUCCACGAAGUGUUGUAAGUCAGGCAUUCCUCAUUUACAUUAAUGGCUUCCAAUGAAGACAGGACAAGGGUUUAAAAAUAGCACAAGCAAUAAAUCAAUAAUGCAUCAGCAGCUCUACAGCUCUAUUAUAUCCAGCAA
Molecule: long non-coding RNA, 482 nt
Filed under: Oreochromis niloticus (Nile tilapia)
Lineage: Eukaryota; Metazoa; Chordata; Actinopteri; Cichliformes; Cichlidae
Description: lncRNA (ENSONIG00000034571.1)
Source: RNAcentral